GCUUCCGUGGUCCAAUGGUUAGGAUUCCACCCUUCCAAUGUAUCAACAUACAAAUGUCAGGUGGAGGUUCGUGUUCGAUUCACGGCGGUUGCA
This is a non-coding RNA of Halenospora varia, 93 nucleotides long. Lineage: Eukaryota; Fungi; Ascomycota; Leotiomycetes; Helotiales; Solenopeziaceae. The record is from the annotation of a GenBank genome assembly.